This 251-nucleotide ribosomal RNA is filed under the name uncultured bacterium. Its description in RNAcentral is "partial 16S ribosomal RNA". It matches the Rfam family "Bacterial small subunit ribosomal RNA", at positions 525 to 775 of the family's 1533-position model. The record is from RNAcentral.
ACAGAGGUCUCAAGCGUUGUUCGGAAUCACUGGGCGUAAAGCGUGCGUAGGCGGUUUCGUAAGUCGUGUGUGAAAGGCGUGGGCUCAACCCGCGGACUGCACAUGAUACUGCGAGACUAGAGUAAUGGAGGGGGAACCGGAAUUCUCGGUGUAGCAGUGAAAUGCGUAGAUAUCGAGAGGAACACUCGUGGCGAAGGCGGGUUCCUGGACAUUAACUGACGCUGAGGCACGAAGGCCAGGGGAGCGAAAGG